RNAcentral lists this ribosomal RNA (230 nucleotides) under uncultured bacterium. RNAcentral's name for it is "partial 16S ribosomal RNA". It matches the Rfam family "Bacterial small subunit ribosomal RNA", at positions 30 to 267 of the family's 1533-position model. The record is from RNAcentral.
UUGAACGCUGGCGGCAUGCCUUACACAUGCAAGUCGAACGGUAGAGGGGCAACCCUUGAGAGUGGCGAACGGGUGAGUAAUAUAUCGGAACGUGCCCAGUCGUGGGGGAUAACGCAGCGAAAGCUGCGCUAAUACCGCAUACGAUCUAUGGAUGAAAGCGGGGGAUCGCAAGACCUCGCGCGAUUGGAGCGGCCGAUAUCAGAUUAGGUAGUUGGUGGGGUAAAAGCCCC